Hippocampus zosterae (dwarf seahorse) is the source of this 537-nucleotide long non-coding RNA. RefSeq lists it as uncharacterized. The transcript has 2 exons. The record is from RefSeq and is a predicted model, not a curated record. Lineage: Eukaryota; Metazoa; Chordata; Actinopteri; Syngnathiformes; Syngnathidae.
UUCAUAAUGGUUAUUUCAAUACCUUUCUCUAUUUAUCAACUUAGUUCUGAUUUAUCAUUAUAUUUAAUGUUUAGAAUUUAUCAUUUUAACUCUGAUUGAUGUAGGUUGUUUGUACUAUUUUUUUGAAUUUGUUUUUGAACUCAGCAAGCGAUUUACUCAUUUUUAGGUCCGUUUCGAGAUUAUUCCACAGAUUAACACCUUUGCUAGAUACGCUUCUUUGCUUGAUGUUUGUUCUUGUUUUGAGUUUUUUGAAUAAGUUGGUACCUCUUAAUUCAUAGUUGCUUACUCGAAUUUCGAAAAACUUCUGAAUGUUUUGGCAGAGCAGGUUAUUGUGUGCUUUGUACAUUAAUUGGGCGAUUUUAAAGUCAACCAGGUCAUAAAAUUUCAUCGUAUUUAAUUUGAUAAAUAGUGGAUUUGUGGGUUCCGUAUAUUUUGAUCUAUUAAUAAUUCGAAUUGCUUUUUUUGUAGUUUGAGAAUAGGGAGUGUGUUUGUUUUGCAGGCAUUUCCACACAGUAGGUCAUAUAUGGUAAUAAUAAU